CCCUCAUUUCUUUUCUACCCCUGAGUUUCCGUUUUUGCCCUUGGGAGUACUGCGGUUUAUAGAAACCGAAGGCGUUUGACAUGUUAAAAAAUUUCGGUAACUGCGAACCGAAAGUGGUAUUGAUAACUUUCGGUAGCUGCGAACCGAGAGUAGGGGUACUGCGGUUGAUUUUAACCGAAGUUGCCUUACAUAUGAACAUUUCCAGUCAGUAAGUUCGUUUUAUUUAAAAUACAAACCACAAAACUCUUCUCUUCCUUUCUUGCACACAUUUGAGGCCAACUUCAAAUCACACUUCAUCAAGUAAGUUUCUUUCCUUUUUCAAAUUCAUUUUUUGUUCUUCCCUCGAAAACAGAGCCUAUGAUAGCUAAAAAAAACGAAUUUAAAUCGGUGUUUACCUGAGUUUUGAGCUUUGGUGCAUGUUGAAUCCAUUAGAUGAUGCUCCAAUCUUGAUUUCAAGCCUCAAAAUCGAUCCAAAUUAAACCGCAUAAAAUUUGGAUCGGAUCAAAUUGAAUUUUUUUUAUUUGUCAUCCAAAAUUGAACCGAACUACAAAUAAAUUUAUUUUUGGAUCGUAUAAAUUUUUGCCUCAAAAUCGAUCUAAAUCGAACCGCGAGCACCCUUGCGCAUAACUACUUGAACCUGCCUAUCUCAUACAAGUACAGCAGAACAAUACCCAUUUUUUUCAUACAGUGGCAUAAAAGUACCACAGAUAGAGUAACCAACAACCACAAAUCAAUUCAAUUCACAAUAGAAAUUUAUCCGAUUUGCAUAGAAAAUCAAUUAAGGACGGAAAACGACGAACGAUGGUAAAUAACAAUGAACGACGGUGAUGACAUGAUGAUAGACACAGCUGGUCACAACGGCAGCCAUGGAUAUGCUUUUGGGAAGAUUUAUUUAUUUUGGGAAGGUUCGUUUGAUUUUGAGAGAGAAAGUGAAAAUAUAGGGACACGUCAGUUCGUGAACAGUUCGUGGGUAUUCUGUUCGCGAGAAAUAGCAUUAUUCUUUUACUUUUUAUUUAUUUAUUGGAAUGUUGCUCACCGAUAAUAAUCAUUAAAAUGGACCUGUCGUGUUAGUUGAAUCUACAAACAGGUGUUAAGAUUGGCUUUAUGGUUUUCAAGUUGCAAACAUGUCAUAAAGUUCAC
RNAcentral lists this long non-coding RNA (1140 nucleotides) under Trifolium pratense (red clover). RNAcentral's name for it is "long non-coding RNA (TPRA_LNC000428)". The record is from RNAcentral. Lineage: Eukaryota; Viridiplantae; Streptophyta; Magnoliopsida; Fabales; Fabaceae.